GACGAACGCUGGCGGCGUGCCUAAUACAUGCAAGUAGAACGCACAGUUUAUACCUUAGCUUGCUACACCAUAGACUGUGAGUUGCGAACGGGGGAGUAACGCGUAGGUAACCUGCCUGGUAGCGGGGGAUAACUAUUGGAAACGCUAGCUAAUACCGCAUAAUAUUGAUUAUUGCAUGAUAAUUAAUUGAAAGGUGCAAUUGCACCACUACCAGUUGGACCUGCGUUGUAUUAGCUAGUAGGUGAGGUAAUGGCUCACCUAGGCGACGAUACAUAGCCGACCUGCGAGGGUGAUCGGCCACACUGGGACUGAGACACGGCACAGACGCCUACGGGAGGGAGCAGGAGGGAAUCGUCGGCAAUGGACGAAAGUCUGACCGAGCAACGCCGAGUGAGUGAAGAAGGUUUUCGGAUCGUAAAGCUCUGUUGUAAGAGAAGAACGGGUGUGAGAGUGGAAAGUUCACACUGUGACGGUAUCUUAUCAGAAAGCGACGGCUAACUACGUG
This 505-nucleotide ribosomal RNA is filed under the name uncultured bacterium. RNAcentral's name for it is "partial 16S ribosomal RNA". It matches the Rfam family "Bacterial small subunit ribosomal RNA", at positions 28 to 507 of the family's 1533-position model. The record is from RNAcentral.